Ipomoea nil (Japanese morning glory) is the source of this 722-nucleotide long non-coding RNA. RefSeq lists it as uncharacterized. The transcript is spliced from 4 exons. The record is from RefSeq and is a predicted model, not a curated record. Lineage: Eukaryota; Viridiplantae; Streptophyta; Magnoliopsida; Solanales; Convolvulaceae.
UUUGGACAAUCUUGCAGCUCUCCUCUGUUCUCGCCUGCGCAUACUCUCUCUACCGCUUCGAGAAAAUUCACGACACACAUUGCGGGUGUAGUUUAACCCUUUUUGAUCUGCUUCAAGCUCGAUCACAUUUUCUCGCCAUUUCCAUGUCUAAAACAUUAUCUCUACCCUACUAUGUACUCGGAUCACACCUCCUGACCGAUUACACAAAACAAAACCCUAACGCUACCUAUUUCAUCUCUCAAACGAUUCUGGAAAGUUCACCACACAUAAGGUAGUGACACCACUCAAGAAAUGGUUUGAGGCAAAAUUUGAGCUGACAGAUCUGAAAGAAAUCAACCAACAGGAACUACAACAUCUAUAAGAUGUUCCAUAAAAAAUAUGGCAAUACAUGAGAGUGUUGGAAUUACACUGUCCGGAUAGACCCACAAAAAAGAAGAUACAUACAGUAAACAUGUAAUUUCAAUGUUUAAUUUGCUCACAUUUACAUCAACACCAAGCACCAAGAAAAAAAAAACCAUUUCUGCUCUAGAAAAAGUGAAAGAGGAUGCAAAUCUUUACCAAAUCUGCAGCCCAAAUUUUGCAGCAACAACUACUGCUGGUCAGACCUUCUUUGUUUACUUUGUAGCCAGACUGCAUCCAGCACCCUGCACAAUCUUCAGAAAUAUCAAAGAAAGUAAAAAUGCAUACAAUCAAGUGUAUACCUUUCGCAUCUAUGUAUAUGC